Molecule: non-coding RNA, 3617 nt
Organism: Anas platyrhynchos (mallard)
Lineage: Eukaryota; Metazoa; Chordata; Aves; Anseriformes; Anatidae
Source: RefSeq, a predicted model, not a curated record
GUUGAGCCAGUUCUAAGAAAGCACGAUCUCCCUGCAAUUACAGCGCGUCCAUGGCUCCGAUACUAUAUAGCAAAAAACAUUCAUCAUACUGUCUUCUGUUCCAGGUGCUAAGAAGAGAGGCCAAUGUAGCUGUCUAAACAAGAGAUGACAUACCUUUUGAAAAGCAGCUUUCAGGUGGUUGCUUGUGCCCUGAGAACGUAUGCACCUGGAAAUUCCAGUGCUUGAGAGAAGCUGAAGAUCAGUCCACAAAUGUUCUUGCUGCACUUGGGGAGGUAGAAGAUGGACUGGAUUCCAUGCCUCAGUCUUCCCUAGAAAUGACAACAGAGAGCAUCAACACUGGAAUAUAAGAGCAGACUAAAAGACCAGGAUUCUUUUUCUUUAAUAACAUAUCUGAAAGAGCCUUCCACCACCUCUCAGUAGAGUUGACUCUUCUGAGACAUUCAGGAAGACAAUGCUUUGACAACCUCUCAAAUUAUGCAGUAUGCUAGCGUACCUAAGAGAUCUUUUAAUACUGCAGUGAUGUUACCUGGCCAGAAGCACAAGACAAAGUUUUUCCAAGUCUUCGUAGCAAAUAGACCUAGUCCUAAACGCAUCGUUAUUGGCUUCUUCCACCUGUCUCAUUAAGCUUGGAAAAAGGACAGAAUUAAAGUGCAUUUUUUUAAUAUGAAGCAAAGCCUGACCCUGUCUGCUGCUGGAGAGCACUAAGUUCUUCAGACAGCACAGGAGUGCUUGAAGGAAGGAUCUGCAAACACAUACGAAAAGAUUUGCAAGCAAUCUCUGAAGUCUGUUACAAAAGCCAGAAAAGUUUAAACUGUGCUGCCCUACAAAGGAGGCCUGUUUUGGGCAAAACUCGGUAAAAUCCCAUCUGAACCAGGACUGUGUCACUUAUGCUGAUGGAGUUGAACAUGUAUGAACCAUGGAGUGAGGGAGAAAAAUUCAGCCUUUUACAUCUUACAUGAUCAUUACCUUGGUGCCUGCUCUAGCCAAAGCACUCCCCAGGGCAGCUGAGGGGCUGGCUGGUUUUGAAGUGUGCAGAGCAGUAAGGAGAGUUAGCAAAGCUACGUCAGGUUGCUCUAUGCCUUAUCCAGUCACAUUCAGAAAAUCUCCAAGGAUGGAGCUUUCACAGCCUUGCUGGGUGACCUGUUACAGUACUCAAUGCACUCUAACUGCAAAAGCUUUUUCCUUAUAUCCAAUUUAAUAGGUAAUUCGGUGGGCUGAGGGGGUUGUCUAAAAUACCAGCCUUACGCUUUCCUCCCUAACUUGACACGUUGGGGCUCCAGACCAUAGGGAAAGUCCCACGGUGCCACCAACACAGAGGGAGCCUGCAGUGUAAUUCUGUGUGGGUGCACAGGCUGCAGAGGCCCAAGGGUCUGGAGGUGAGGACAGACACAAGAACUGCUAACUGGCUGGGCCUUGUCUUUGUUCCCAAGGCCUGUACAAGCCAUGCUGCCAACCAUGCGUGGUGUGCACAUUAGAUAAUAGUUGGAAAUGUUUUUCCUCCAGAGGCAUGUUCUGUGCUCAUGGUCUCUGCUGCUAUGCAGAGAGCCAGCUCUCCUUCUUCUUCCUGAACUUUGUGAGCCCGGGACUGAGCAGAAGUCAGCCCACGUAAAGGCUUCAAUGGGCUUCAGAUGUGAGGCUGCUUCUGCAGGGCACAAUCCUGAGCAACAAGCGUGAUAGAGCCCACAGAAGGAGAGACAUGAGAAGCUCUGUAAUACUGAAAGCAACAUAUUAUCCUCUUCUGAUCUGGGACAGCUGAACCUCAGUGGCUUUAUUUCCUUCUACACUUUAAGUUACAGGGAAAUCCACAUUCAGAAAGUAGCAGUUGGAAGAAUUCAGCUAGUGCCACCAUAUCUGCAUCUACUAUGCUUUUAUGGGUACGCAGGGCCUUACUUCCUUCUGAUAAAUGGGUGAAGGGAAAGGCCAGGCAUUGGACGUGUAUUCAGAUGCUGCAAUUUAUUCUCCUGGCUUUAAAAGGCUCAGUUAUAGUAGGGCUGAGAGCCAAAUACAACUCUGUCUUGAGCUAUUCCUUCUCCUCCCCCCCGAAGAAUGAUCUUUAAGGUCUAUACCCUCACCUCCACCCAAAAUGACUGCCCUGAUUUAUUUUAUGCUUUUUGUUGUUGUUGUUGUUUCCUUUUAAAUAACUUCUAAGCUUAGCCUUUGUUUGCCAAGCUUUCAGCCUGGAGCAAGAUUUUACAGUUGAAUUAUAACCUUCUCUCCUUCCCCUUGAAAAGAGGUGUUUUUCUGGAUAUGCUGCUGUCCCACCCAUACUCACCUAGCUGCGGGGAGGCAGGGGAGAUGACAAGCUUUUUACAGAUCGGCAGCUCAGAGUUCAGUGUCGCAGGCAUGGGCACACAUCUGGUUAAACCAUUUCCCUUAUAUCUUGGCUCAAAAUCCUUGGCUGAGACAUCUCAUGGCAGCAGCCGUGUCCAGGGAGCUGAGAGGGAGGGAAUAAAGGAGACAAAGUGGUUAGGUUUCUCAGAAAGGGAAUGGCUGUGGGCUGGAAUAUAACGAAAUGCCAGGACUGCAGAGUCUGCUCUCUCAGCAUGUUACAGGGUUUUUGACUCACGGCAGCAUGAUGCCAACCCACACUUGAAAAGCCCCCUCUGAAGCGCGGGGAGCAAAAGACAGAAGGCUGCUGAGGCCAGCGCCUUCCACAGAAGGAAGGAAUGGGUGAUGGUCUGAAAAGGUACUAUAAGCUGGAGCCUCAGACAGUUUUGGAUACUUCUCAGGGGUUUCAGUUUCCCCACUCAGACCCCAGUAAAACCUGAAAAUCCCUACUCAGCUGCCAAUGCAUUCCCAACACUGAGCUGAAGCCAGGCAGGCUCUGGAGAAGACAUUUCAAAGCACGCAGCGUCACCUCCCCAGCUGCCUGCUUUACCAGUAGGAUCCAGUCCCCUGUGCUUACUCACAGCAUGCCUAAAAGUGUUAUCUGUGGUCCAGGAUGGGGUGUAGGAGCACGAAGAGGAGUGAAGUAAGGCAUAUUUGGUGGGGAAUUCCCUGUGGAUGUGUCAGACCGGGACGGUAAGUCCUUCACUGGAUUAGGGAUGUUUCUUGUACGUGAACUGGUGCCCAAAUUUCUCUGGGUUAAGAUCUUUUAUUAUUUUUAUCAGCACUCUCCUCCUCCCACACGAUCAGUUGACAAGAAAGGUUGCCUCUCCUCGCUCCAGGCAGGCUGCCUGCCUGUCUGCCACACUCCCUCUCCUCCAGCAUUGCUCCAUGUCAAGGAGCCACCCUAAUGUGUAACCUGACAUUUUCAAACACGCUGAUAUUGGCAGCGAGUUACGUGAUAUGCUAGGCUUUAUCCACCCUGCACAGGUCUUCUAGAAAGGCUACUGACUUGGAAGGAGAAUGCCCAGCAUUCAGCAUAACAAAAAGGCCACUCCUGGUGCUGAGCACCUCUGCAAGGACAGAGCUGGACCCAGGACUAACUCUGAAUUUGAAAUGUGAACUCUGCGAACUUCAGGUGUGAACAGCCAUGGCAAGGCUCAGAGUGACAGAGGAACACGGAUGCAGCACCACAGACGUCAAAGCCAGCAUCAGAAGACGAGGGUGAAGCAGCGCUCUACCGAUCUUCUGUAUUACAAUCUUGACAGUCAUUAAAAAAGGCAAAAAUAAGC